GACAGAGGGUGCAAACGUUGUUCGGAAUUACUGGGCGUAAAGCGUGUGUAGGCGGCUUGGCAAGUCGGAUGUGAAAGCCCUGGGCUCAACCCAGGAAGUGCACUCGAUACUGCCGAGCUUGAGUAUCGGAGAGGUUGGUGGAAUUCUCGGUGUAGAGGUGAAAUGCGUAGAUAUCGUAAGGAAGACCAGUGGCGAAGGCGGGUCUCUGGACAGUUCCUGACGCUGAGGCACGAAGGUCAGGGGAGCAAACGGG
Molecule: ribosomal RNA, 253 nt
Filed under: uncultured bacterium
Lineage: Bacteria
Description: partial 16S ribosomal RNA
Rfam family: Bacterial small subunit ribosomal RNA
Source: RNAcentral